Non-coding RNA from Trichonephila clavata, 69 nucleotides. The record is from the annotation of a GenBank genome assembly. Lineage: Eukaryota; Metazoa; Arthropoda; Arachnida; Araneae; Nephilidae.
GCGUGGCCUAACGGAUAAGGUGUCUGACUUCGAAUCUGCAGAUUACAAGUUCGAGUCUUGUCACCAACA